Molecule: long non-coding RNA, 36062 nt
Filed under: Physcomitrium patens
Lineage: Eukaryota; Viridiplantae; Streptophyta; Bryopsida; Funariales; Funariaceae
Description: long non-coding RNA (PPAT_LNC011868)
Source: RNAcentral
CCACUGAGUGCCUGGAUUUGUCAGGAUCUUUCAAAGGUCUCUGGAUCUCAGUAAACUUUAAGUUCUUAUUUUUCUAUUGCAAAAAGGUUGGCAUGGGAUUUGUGGGUGGUUGUGAGCUGCUCAGGAGAAGCAAUCUCUCUCACUCUCAUCAAAAAGCGUUGCAAUUAUAAACCAAGGUAGGCAGUGUGGGAUCCAGGCAUGAACAAUAAUUUUGUUCCAACUUCUUUCAUCCAGAAUUUUCCUGCUGGGUUACAGAAUGUUGUUGGAGAGGAGGGUGUAGUGGUAGAAGACUAGUUGUAGCAGCAGUUGUAGAGUAGUAUUCACCCAAAGGCUUUGAAGGGGAGUAGAGGUUUGAUGUGGGUCCCAUUCCAUUCCAUUCGACUCUAGUGGCUUUUUCCCCGUCUGCUAUUUUUUUUCCUUUCUUAUGGAGGGCUUUCAACUUGUUCUGACAGCCUUCAAUUAUGCAGGGCCCACAAUGAGUGAGAAGCUCGUACCGCAUGACUUUGAUGGCAGUGCCCAAGCCCAAGUCCGAGCCUUACAUUUCCCUGCCUCCGUGCCCUGCAUAAUUGAAUGUGGGGUUUGGACAGGCCUGUAAACUAUCUCGCAGUCACUGCCCCUACACUAACCCUCUUUCGUAUGUUUGUUUUUAAAACAAGAAAAAAACUAACUAAAGCAUUAAAAUAAAACUAGUACCCAUUUAGUUUCGAAGUCUAGUAUAAAGCUGCGGUUCUCAAAAUGACCAACACAACUAAUUAUGUGACGCGUUAUAAUCGUGCACAUCAUCGUUACUUGUGAAUGUGAGAAUGAUGUCUAUUAACGUAACAACACAGAGACGUUGAUGCAUCGAUAGAAUGAACAUGAAAUGCCCGACUUUACUUGAGAAAAAGCGCUAAACUGCUAGCGGAAGCAAGAUUGUGAUGAAGUGACAAUGUGUGUGAGUGUGUUGGCUAGGCUCACUGCAAAGUGCUUUUGUUGGAAAGCGUAGGUCGUCUUCUCCCUCCACAACAUUCGCAGCUAGGUUAAAGAGGCGAGUCUAUGAAUGUGGAAUAUUCUACCACGAACAACAUGUUUGUGACAGCAAUCUCUCGCCGGAAAUUGCCAAGGCGUCCACAUCGACGGUAAGCUCCGAUGUACCGGCCGAAUAGUUACCCCUCAUGGCUGAGUUCUGGCAGCUUCUACAUUCAAGAUCUUAGACUUACAUCCCGAUGGAUGCAGCUUUCGAGGAGCUUGGCUUUUCUUCAAAACCCACCUCUUCUCACAGUUUCUCACAGUUUCUCACAGUUUCCUAUGAUGACUAUAGUCGCAACAAACAACCCAUAAUGCGAUUUCUACACUAGUCGGGAGGAUUAAUGUCUCACUCAACGGAAGAGGCCCUCCAGAUAAAAAAGACUUCAGAUAAAAUAUGUGACAAUAGAAGUCUUUCGGUGUCGUUGGACGAACAACCGUCUUAUUCGUUCGUUGUAUUGAGAGAAAUUGUAUGACGGAUAGGAACGUUCUAAGUAUAUUUGUGUGCGAAGGCAGGGAAUCUUCGCUGAUAAUGGUUUCGUUCAACGGAAACUGGGAUUUAGGAGCACAGACCGUCUCGGUUCGUCGAAUUUCGAGGAAUUGUGGAUUCUGCAUGACGCGUUGAGGGAAGUGAUUCUGAGUUGUAGUUCAUAGACUUUACGGCACCGAUCGAGCUCAUGAAAUUGAGCUCCGACGGUUUUUACAUAUUUCACGAGUUAGAAGAAGGCUUGGUCACGAGGAGGUACCGAUUGCAAUGGUUGAGAGCUCUUGAUGUUCUAUCGAAUUACGAUUUUUGGUACACGCCUGAGUACUAAAAACAAGUAUUCUGGAUGAUGGAGGGACAGGCGCGCGGAUAGCGUACUGCCAUUGUCAGGUCUCUGGAGAAUCUGCACCUUCCUGUUCUUGAAAUGAUCGCGAAUACAAAAUCUCAGCUGCCAGACGUUGAAAGUUGGAUGCGAGUGGAGGUCAAACACUCUGCGCGCAAGGCGACUGCACAUUAGAGAACAAUGCUCAUGAACACCAUGUGUUCAUAGAGACUUAAUCUGACAAGGUUGGGAUCAGCGUUAUCUGCGGGGAAAGGGGACCAAUCUAGGUGUUAAUUAUAUGCAGUUCUAGUCUCGUUCUUGCAUUGUCAUUGAAUCCCUCUAGCGAAACCACGCAUUUUUUGAGGAAGAGUUUCUACUUGCGACACUCAAGGUGCUCAACGCUAUUUAAUGCUCUCCAUUUAUAUUAACAACUAGAAGAUCGAUGAGUGCCAAUUUGUACACCUGGCCAGAUUGCUGAGCAAAUGCUAUCAAAAGAUCUACACAGCUGCAGGCAUCUCUGAGUUUCAUUUCAACACAGCUUCUUCAGAUUACCACGAGAGAUCAAACUCGAAAGGCCUACAUGCUCGAACUGGCACAUCCAUUGCCAUCUUUGCAGAAGCCCUCCUCACAGUAAGGCUCUGCAAUCUUCGCCGUUUCCUGAGCACCUGUUCAAGAAAUGCAUGUGUUUCUGCAAAGAUCGGGAACAAAUAUGCAAUCAAAAACCCGAAAGAGAUCGUCGUCAUUACUUGGUUACAAAUCCAGACACAGAGUUGAGGCAAAAGUGCACACACAGUUGAUGCACGGUUUGAUCCGAAAGUCUCUUUACUCCAUGAACUAUUUCACAUCCAUACUCAUGACGAUCAAUUGACGUUCACCAUGUGCCGAGACCUGAUUGUGGACCAAACUGCAAGUCUUUUACCUACGACAACCCUUCGAUAAUCUCCACUUUGUUUGCAGGUAACCAUACAAGUCCAGAAGUCUGUGUAGGAUUGUCAGUUACCGAACAAACGCAAAAGACGGUGCUGUAGUUGCACAGGGAAUGCGAUCAACCUGUUGUGGUGCUUUUCAAGUUGAAAAUCGAUGCAUGUUCGGAGACCAAGGUCUGUCUUCGAACAAUGUGUGGGAAUAGAGAAAUACUUCUCAGUCGUAGGUAAGCAUGCUAUUCGUGCUCUUUACAAACAGCAUAUUAUGUUGGAGAGAUUAGAAAACAGUAUGGUCCUUUGAAUAUCUUCAUUAGUGGGUUUUAUAAGAGGGUUUCAAACAUGGCCUUUUCAGGUGAUAUUUUACCCUUGAUGCAAGUUCAGAGUAUCCAGUGAUAUUUUGAAAUAUUACUUGAUAUUUCACCAAAUCACUUGAUAUUUCAUCAAAUCACCCACCUUGCAAGGCGGGUGAUUUCGAAAUCAAAACAUCAAAAGAUAGGGGGGUCAAAUAUCAAAAACCGCAUCAAUCACCUCAACUCUUUGACUCCAUACUAGGGAGCAAUAAAGUUUGAAUCAGGGAGUUAAUAAAGUUUGAAUAGUGAUGUUUUGGAUUUGAUAUUUCUAGUGGUCCUAGAAAUAUCAAAUAUUGUAUCCCAAUUGUUUGGUUUUGCAAAGUGCCAUGCUUGAAACCCUCUAUUAAUUCCCAUAACAACUCAAAAUACAUUUAUAGUAUAUGUGUUGCAAAAUUGCAAGGUAGGUCUUGCCAAGUAGCUAUGGAGGGUUGAUAUUAUGUAAGUAACUUAGAUUUAUGUACCAAUAGAACAAGAUCUGUGGCAUUUGUUUGUGUUAGGCUUUUAAUUACAAUAAACCCUUUGCAUAACUCAAUUAGAUUAUUUAAAUGAUUCAGGAAUUGCAUCCAUUUUAAAGUUAAUUAAGCAAUUCUUAACCUUUACUUCUUCAUGUUUAAGCAACCAAACAAAGUAUGUGGUAUGUUUAAUGUUAAUUUGAUAUGAAUGUUUAUAAAAUUGUGGAUUCUUUAUAGUAAGGACUUCAUUUAAUAUUGUGUAUUUUUUGUGAUAUACAAGUAUAACACAUAUUUAUUCGUUAAUACACAUCCCUGAAUGAUAACUUGCACAUUAGUAUUCAACAAGGAUUUUUUUUAUAUAAUUAACACAUCAAUUAAUAUAAAUUUAAUAACAUAUUUUGCUAAUUAACAUGUGCAAAUCAAAUAACUUGAAACAUUAAAUUUCAAAGAAGAGAUGUUAAAAAAAUUAUAAUUAUUUUUUAUUCUGAAAUAAUAUUACUAUUGUGAUUUUAAAAAAAAUCGUCAUAUGAAUUUGAAUUGAUUUUUUUUUAUUUUUAAAAAUUACAUUCUUUGGAACAAUAAAUAUGAGUUUGAAUAUUUUUAAUUUGAAUUAUGGCCAUAUCAAAGCUUCCAAUGCAAUGCAACAAUCGACAUAAUAGUAUUAAUUUAAAUUACAAAAUAAAUAUAAAAAUACUAAUGAAUUAAUAUAAAAAUAUAGAUAGUCAAAUCAGUCAUAAUAUUAAUAUAUAUAUAUAUAUAUAUAUACACACACACACACACACACACAUAUAUAUAUAUAUAUAUAUAUAUAUACUUACAUACAUACAUACAUACAUGUUUAUACAUCUAUUUAGUACAAAAAGGUGUAAAUUAUAUCAGAAAUAAUCAUCUCUUAUAUGAUUUAUUUUUGCAAUCUAUAAAAUAUAUAUUUUUUGAUUUUUUUGAUAAACUAUGUAUAUAUAUAUAUAUAUAUAUAUAUAUAUAUACAUAUAUAUAAACUAAAUUUACAAGAUUAAAGAAGAAAUUAAUUUCUAUUAUUGUGAUAAAUAUUCGAAUUAAAAAUAGAAAGUGAUAUAAUCAUAGGUUACUAUAAGAAAGUUUUGAAAAUAAACUUGUUUUGAUAAAAUAUUUUCUAACAAUUAUUUCCUGAUUUUAUAUAAUAUUUUACUGUGGUAUAUUUAUAAAAAAAAACUAUAAGUUAAAAAUACAAUACAAAAGUGAGAAUAUUUAACUUAGGACAACAUUUACUUGGUCAUUUUUACUUAGAGACUAAGAAAAAAUGAAACUCCACUUUUAAAGAAUUAUUAUUAUUAUUAUUAUUAUAUAAUUUUAUUUUUUACUAAAUUUAAAAGAUUUAUAUUGAUAGAUAUACUUUUAAUAAAAUCUAAGGAAAAAAAUCUAAGGUAUUAAUAAUACCUUAUGGAAUUUACAAAAAUGACUUGCCCAUGUAUUUAUAAUUCUUAAUAUUUUGUGUACAAUUUUGUGUACACAAUACAUAUAUUUCUUUUUCUCUCUCUUUCUUCUUUACGUCUAAAUUUUAAAUUAUAUAAAAUAUUUGUUUAUUAAUAAAUUUCAUGGUGAGUUUAAAAUUCUCCAAAAGUCUUAAUUUUGCUAUGUUUUAGAAUAAAUAUUUUAGAAAGAUUAUAUGCUUUUGCACAUAAUUUAAAACAUAGCAAAAGCACAUAAUCUUUCACAAUGAAACAAUUUGUCCUAAUGACUUUCACCUUGUGUUUAAACACCAGAGAAGUUUCUUCUGCUUGCUUUUGCUUGCUCGCUCGCUGCUUCUCCUGUUGUGUGUGUGUGUGUGUGUGUGUGUUGAGAUUACUUGCAUGUGUUGUUGUUUUGUAUGGAUUAUUUGCAUGUGUUGUUGUUGUUUUGUAUGGAUUAUUUGCAUGUGUUGUUGUUGUUGUUGUGUGUUGAGAUUACAAGCAUGUGUCAUUGUUGUUGAUGCGUAAGUGUUAGCGUUACUUGCAUGCGCUUACAAAAGCCUUGAGCAAGCUUUUCUCAUGCUGAGGUUGGACUGUGCAGCGCUAAACACCUUCGUUGUUUCUGUUCACUGGGUUGUGGGAUGGUGUGCUGCUAUUUGACAAGUGCAAGCUCAGCUGGGUUCCCUUUCUGGUGCUGUAGACGCAUUCUGAAGGCCCACACAAUGUUUUCGCGCACAUUUCAAGUUGUGGGGGGCUAUGGUUUUUCUAGGGUUUUGGAAUGUCUAUUCUAACAAUGGCGCAUUCGGAGUCCAGUAUUCGCAUCCAAUAGAUCCGAUUCUUUCUCCUGGUGCAAGAGCCUUCAUUUGCUGGAGUUGUCUGAGGUUUGAGCAACGUCAUACUGGCAUUCUUCUGUUGUCCUUUGCUGCUUCUUUAUUUUGAUUUUGAUGUUUGCAACUUGGUUUUGGUUUUGCAAUUUUUGAAACAGUUGGGGCUUAAAACAUGUUAAGGUCAAUCCGUUCGUGGAAAACUCUGUUCGAUUUAUUGUAUCACAAUCAUUCCCUCAUGUGUCAUUGUUCUUGAGAAUUUUACUAAAUCCCAUAAGAGAGGCUAAAGGAAAUACUCACGAGCACUCUAUAUUAGCAUGAAGUUUGUGAUUUUGCAUAUUACAUUGUGCCAAUGUUUUUUUUUGCGUUUGACGCGAAAAUUCUCGGUGAAUUUUCUAGUAUGGUGGAUGUUGCUGAUUGUUUGCUGUUCAUCUCAUUACGGGUGAGAUAAUGUAUGUAUAUUUUUCUAAUUUUAUUUUCUGGCAUCCAGUGGUCAAUGCUCGUUGUGAUGUACUAAACAAAAAAAAAUUAAAUGGAGGAUUCCAUGCGAAGGAGCACUAGGGUUUAUCCUGGACGUCGCAAAAUCCAACCUGUUGCGUUGAUGAAACGACCAAGUCGGUGCUUAUCUCCUGCUCUUUAGUCAUCAAUAGUAUCAGUGUUUAUAAGUUAACGUCGAGUUUUCUUUGCUCAAAUCUGUUCCUGAUGGAGGACCCAAAACCAGAAAGCAUUGAACCUUGGAUCCUACAAAGCAUUCUAACUUCUUAAAUAAUCAAAGCUUCAAGGACAUUCAAGGAUUAUGAGAGUAGGUCUAUAAUUCAACAAUGAUAUGGAUUUCUUAAGCUGCGUUUUCAAGCAAAGCUAGAACUUCUGCCUGAAGCUUCACUGGAAACUUGUUUCACGACACUUUUCUUCGUAUCGAGAGACAUGCAUUGAGUUUAAAACUCUCAGCCCAAAACGAUACAUAUCCCUGGUAUGCAAAAAAAUUCAAGGAAAUACACAUUUUUAACUAAACAAAGUUGCUCCAAGUAAGGUCUUCUUGAGGCUGAGUUAAAGUUCAGCAAAGAGGGGCCGUUCUGGUGACAUACAUAUUGCCAUCUCCUUUACAAACGUCGUAGUGUAGAAGCACGACUACCUGUAUGAUAAAUUCUGUUUAUAUUCGCCAAAGAAAACCCAGUUUUCACAUUCUACCAACCGCCCAUCAGAUAUUCUCUCUGUAGGAAGCUUUGCACCCUACAUCUUCAUGACGGCAUACGAUCGAUUCACGCUAGCUUGCGAACUCCUUCAACCCUUCAAUCAACAAACACCCCACAUUGUACGAACCUCCUGUAAUUACUAUAACAAACACGUUACUAAGGAAAUUUCUACACAUGCAUCAAGAGCACAGCGGCAGCAGCGAUGGGAGGCAAAGUCCAUUAGAAGCCACUUCAUCGAGAUAGCACUUCAUGACGCUUGUUCAUCGUGUGCAGAGGGAGAUCUACAACUGGGUCCUGGCGGUUGCGCAACGAGGAUAAAAUGUAUGAAUCGCGCUACAAGGGCCAGAUAAACAUGCGUCGCAAAACCAAACUCCUCCAGUUCGGCCUAGGUGGAGCAGCACCCAUCGAUAUAUCAUUCAUCUAUUUUCCAGGCUUUAACAUCCACAACUGCACCACAUGUACCAGCGUUUUCAUUCAUUCACUGCCUGUUUUCUUCCGCUGUAGCAACGUGAGACUUGACCCUACUGCCGAGUCUGCUGCGUUCAGGGAGGCCUGGUUUCCUCAACCCUCUGGAAGCUCACACUUGGAGUUUUGCUUUGGAGCUCUCUCGGUGGUGGUGCGUCUUUCUUCGGUCCCCUUUGGUCCUCGUGCUUGCGGAUGUAGCUGCAGGCCGCUCGCGAAGGGGGUCGUCGCCGUUACUGCCGCUGCUCGCCAUGGCUCGAGCCAUGGCUCUGUCUCUCCUGCUUCUCGUCGCCUGCUUCAACCUCGCUUCUGCUGCCGACAGUCUCACUGUUGUCCGAGCUGAUCGUAAGGUGCGCUUCGUUUGGUACUAGUCCCUCAAUGUGGGGAUGUUUUACUCUCUGAGUAUGGAUCUGGGGAUUUUUAGGGGUGUUGGUUGGAGAGAUCGGGUGUCUUUGGUGGUGGUAGAGGGAGCUCGUGUUGUGUCGUCGCUGACGAUCUUUAGGGCGAUUUAGGGUUGUGGUAUUGUAUUCGGAUUUUGUUUUAGGGUUUUUUGGGGGUAUGUUUGCAGCACCAGCGGGUUUAGUGAUCGGUGAACUAUUUUUUUGUCUCAAUGUUGAGUUGUAACCAUCGAUUGGUAUUGACGUGGGUGAGUGUAUUGGUGGGGGUGAUAUUUUGUGUUGGGGUUUGCAGGUUGAUCUGUUGACGCAGGUUGUUAGAGUCUCUACUGCAUGGAAGGUGCAGAACAAUGGAGCAGAGCCGGUGAGAGAAGUGAAGUUGGCAUUGACUUCAGAGCAGGCGGAGAGAGUGGCGUUUAUGGAGGUUGUUAUCAAGGAAACAAAGGGUAAAGGAAAGAAUGCCGCUGUUGGUCUUUUAUUACCGGUGAUUCGUUACUCUCAAGAAGGUUCCGUGAUUGUCUACACCCUUGCUUUGCCUAGGGAAAUCAAGGAAGGAGAAAUUGCGACUUUCGAGAGCUACGUGGCUCUCACACACCAAUUGAAGCCUUUCCCUGAAGAGAUUACACAGUCCGACUCUCAGCUUGUGAAGUAUCAUGAUACGGCAUACAUCCUGUCACCGUACCCUGUCAAGGUGCAAACAACCAUGUUUAAACUUUCUAGUUCCAGACUCGAGUCCUUUACUAAGGUGAAUCCAACUAAAGUAGCCGACACAGAGGUUCGUUAUGGACCAUACGAGGACGUAGAAGCUUUGGAAAGGAAGCCGAUCACCCUUCAUUUUGAGAAUAACCAGCCUUUUGCAGUGGUGGAGGAGCUGGUGAGGGAAAUUGAAAUCUCACAUUGGGGUAAUGUUUACAUCACGGAGAAUUACAACAAGCUUGCUCACCAGGGAGCUCGUCUUAAAGGUGGCUUCUCCAGGUUCGAGUAUCAGGCGAGACCUGGUGCGAGUGGGGUAUCAGCCUUCCGGCACCUACUUGCUAAGCUUCCUGUGCACGCCAAUUCUGUGUACUAUCGGGAUGAGAUUGGCAACAUUUCGACGUCUCAUUUGAGAUCUGACUUUCGAAGGACGGAGCUGGAGCUCGAACCUCGAUAUCCUCUUUUCGGUGGCUGGAAAGUCCCCUUCACACUGGGAUACAGCGUUCCUCUCCAAGAUUUGGUGUUCAAGGCUGCUGAUGGUUCUCGGUACCUUAACAUCAGCUUUGGCAGCCCAUUUGGCAACAUUGUGGUAGACAAGCUGAUUCUCAAGGUUGUACUCCCGGAAGGAUCGUAUGACGUUUCUGCAACCGUUCCUUUCCCAGAAGGAUCGUUUGAGCAGAGGCAAGAGAAGAAGUUCUCGUACUUGGACACGGUCGGAAGGACAGUCCAUGUGAUCGUGAAGAAAAACUCUGUUAUGGAGCAUCAAUUCAAGAAUGUUCUGGUUCAUUAUAGGUUUAAUCCAUUGGGCAUGCUGGUCGAGCCUCUGAUGCUGGUGCUGGCUUUCUUUGCGUUUUUUGCCUCCUGCAUUGCUUACACCCACUUUGACUUCACCUUGUCCAAGUCAACUUCGGCGUAUUUAGCCCAGGUACAGCGCGACCAGGUUAUCGAUGUAAUUUCAAAGCUGCAGAAGGUGUUGGGGAUUCGCCAGACAGCAGAAGAGCGCCUGGAGGCAUCGUUGAAGGACGUUCUACGCACAGGGGACAUUACUGCUUGUAAAGCUGACCGUAAGAACGCAGAUGCGGUCUGGAAGAGUACGUCCAAAGAUCUUAAGGCACUCUUGGAUACCCUCCAGUCAACCAUGAAGACUGUACCUGGCAAGCCUUCCACGACGAAACCUUCCGUUAUUGUGACUAAGGUGGAAACCUUGUUGCUGAAAGAGAAGGAGAUGGUUGAGAAGUUGCAGCAGAAGCAAACGUUUAUUGUGGAUGCUUACGAGCGGAAAUUGAGUGGUAAAGAAAUCGAUGCCCGCAUCGCUCCUGUCCAGGAAAAGUUGGAAAGCCUGAGGCAGGAAGUGUCUAAUCUGCGCUCUUCAUUAGAGGACUAGCGUGAUAGAUCUUUGCGUAGCAGAGGGACCCCUUUUGAUGAUGUUGGAAAACAGGAGGUCAAGAGUGGCUGUAGCACUUUCCGGGACUGAAAAAAAAAAAGCUUCUUGAGCUACCCUGUUGAACGAGGUUUAGUUAGCAAGGACCGAUUAGGUUAAGACAUCAAAUAGUAAAGUCGAGCAGUGCCACUGAAAUACACUGAAAUAUGGAGUCUUGUAACUCAGCUCUCUGUUCCUGGCUCUUACUUAUAAAAUAUGUAAAUGCUGGCUUUUGCUGCUCCUUCUUGGAUGACUAAAUGUGGAAUGCUUUACACCCAAUGUUCGAACAACUACAGUACACCCUUGGAAUAUGGAACUCUUUUGAUAAAUGUACUGGUUUCACUGUUUUGACAUUUAGUUUUACUUUCAUCGAACUUGUUGCGAAGUUGGUGCCGCGCCAUCAGUGUAUCUGCGGACUAUCGUCUUGGGAACGAAGUGCUCUGGUAACUUGAAAUUGCCCCAAGCAGUUGCAGGUAUCAUCACCUUCACACAGACGAGCAUAAAACUUAAAAAGUUAGGCGAAGUAGUUGCGACAUCCCGUUUUAGCUUCCCUGCCAGGAUAGAUUUCAGGUCUGAACGUCACCAUCAAAUCUGGCAGGGUGGGAUUAUUGAUUGUCUCAAGGCCAGCAGUUACAAUCAUCUCCGCAUGUCUAAUGAUCAGAAGUCUUUCCUUUCUCACUGCGUACUUUUCAGUCAUUCAUUGUUACUACAAAUCCUUCGUCACUAGUACAUACAGCCACCAAGAUCUGGCCCUGAAUGUAACAUUUAAAUCUGGGCAUGCUGCGCAUGAGUUCAAUUUAAUCUCUCCCCUCUGCUUCAGUAGGUGACAUGCAGGACUCUAACCAACACUCGCGAUAUUACUUAGACAGACAGAAUAUAUAUAGAUAAAAGUAAAUAAUUGAAAAAAAAGUAUACUUUUUUAUUUAGCGUUGACAAAAAAAAAGUUACUAACAUGUAAUCAUGAUGAUAUUUCUUAAUAUUUAUUAAAUAUAUUAAAAAUUUAUACAAAUUUUAUUUUUUAAAAAAUUAUAUUAUAUAUAUAAAUAAUAAAAUUAUAUAUUUAUUACUUGUAUAUCCGCGUUCUUCCUCAUCUGCGAAUACAAUUCCAGAUUCAAGUGUGAAUACUCUAGGUACGCUGUUGAAUGACAUGCGUCAUCUACUGAAUCUGCGUUUCGCUCCUUUGAGCAGCUGUGUCUGAUGGUCUUGCUUGCAAAUUUCGCGGGCGAGAUUGACGAGCUUAAAUAUUCUUUCACAUCCUUUUCAUGGGUUUUCGGAAGCAGAAUCGAUUUUCAAGGACACGAAUUGGCUAUUCAUUCGGUGUGAAUAAUUUUCUGCAGCUGCCAGGUGAUCUCUACCUCUAUCUGCAUACUAUUAUUGAAGAGGUGUGUCAUUACCAUCCUCUCUACAUUCUUUGCCAACUAGUGUUCAAUGGUGAUGGUUAUGCUCAGAAUGGAUGACAUUCAUGAUUGGAUAACAUUUGGGUAACAAUAAGGUUACCAAUUCUAUCAAAUUCAGAUCACUGAAGAAACCAAUCAUUCAUGAUUCAAAAAAAGGACGAAUGGAAUCUGCAGUCAGGAUUCUAUCACAGCUUUACUUAAAGACCUAAUUUGCAACAUUCGAUCCCUAACUUCAACUCUCGGCAAUAAAAUGGAAACAUUUCUAGAUACAUGUGAAGCAAAUACCGCAUUGUGAUAAUCCAAUGGUACCGUUCAACCAUUCAUCAGUAGAGAAGAUCUCAGCGAUUAACAUGAUUGCUUCCAAAACCUUAAACACCCACAAAUACACACACAAACACACAAAUACAGCACAACUUCGGAGUAGAGGGUUCCAAAAAACAAAACCAAUCAUAUAUUCAAUUUAGCAUCCAGCACCACAAUGCAGGGUGUGGUUUGUUUUCUUUUUUCUUCCCGUUCUCAAAAGGAAGUAGAUCUCCUGACAAGCAUUAAUUUACAUGAAAGGGACGGUUGCUCAUCCUGGUUUCGUGAUCUACAGUGGGGGUGCCAUGAGGGCUAUGAAUUCUCCGGGUGCUUGGUUUUUCCAAGCAUUACACGCUGAGCUUCGGUCGAAUGUCUGGUCCAGCGAAGGGCUUCGUGAACUCAUCAGCACACGCCAUGCGGAUCCGCUCGGGCGUGGCCGGUGUGUCCAGCACAAACCAUCCAUUGUGCCCACUGUCUUUCCUUGCUGCCUUGAUAGCGUCCUUGAUAGCAAACAGGGCAGACGUUGCUAGGAAUAGAGGUGGCUCGCCUACAGCCUUGGAAGAAUGAAUCGCCUUAGAAUUCGGCGCAUCCUAAACAGAUUUGUACAGCAGGAAAAAGAAUUCAGUACCCUUUUCUAUCCAGAAUCCCCAGAUCCUAAAAUUGGCUUACGAACGCAAAUUAGACUUUAAAAAAAAUCUGAAAAAGUGUGAUCUUUUACCUUCAAGAGGGAAACCCUGAAGUCGAUAGGAAUGUCGUUCACGGUAGGCAGUUUAUAUGUGCCAGGACCUUGCGUGAAGAGAUGACCUGGUCUAACCCAAGGAUGAGCAGAGUCACCCCAUUUGAGCUCCUCCAAGAUUGCCCACCCGAGGCCUUGCACAUAACCCCCUUCCACUUGGCCGAUGUCGAUUGCGGGAUUUAGAGAAUGUCCCAAGUCCAUGACGAUAUCUACUCGUGGCAAGUGGAAAUCUCCUGUUAGGGUAUCGAUUUCAGCCACAGCGAAAGCUGCUCCAAAUGUGAAAUAGCUGAAGGGCCUUCCCUUGCCGGUGUCCCAGUCCAUACCAAUGUCGGGUGUGAUGUAGAAUCCGUGUGCUGAUAGAUCGAUCCGCUCCAAAUAGCACGCUGUCACCAACUGCAAGACGGACAUAAUUCAAACACGACGAUCAAUUGCAUUAUUUUUUUGCAUUCAAACUGAACCCACUGAUUUAUAAUGAUUAAAGUUCAUAAUGUCCCGAGAAGGAAAAUAGAGCUGCGAAACCAUACCUCGGCAAACGAGGAAUAGUUGUUCUUAGAACUCAGCUCGCUCAUACGGGCCGUGAUCUGCUUGCAAGCAUCAAGCACAGCUCCUCCAUACAUGUCCGCACUUGCGGAAGCAGCAGUAGGGGAGGAAUUCGGAACCUUAUCUGUGGCAGUUUCGGAUACAAAUACAUCCUUCAGAGGGAUACCAAACUCAGACGCUGCAAUUUGAGCCAUCUUUGUGUGAAGUCCCUGGCCCAUUUCCACACCUCCGUGUGUGACCAGCACCGUUCCGUCAGUGUAAACUUGCACAAGAGCUCCAGCCUACAUCCAGAAUAUCACAGAGUUAAGGAAUGCGAUGUGAGAGAAUUGAUCGACAAGAAGUUUCAAGGUUGGCUGAAGAGGAUCAUUAAGGAGUUACCUGAUUGAGGAACUUCGUCGUGAAUGAAAUACCGAACUUCGUAGGCACCAUGGCCAAGCCCCGCUUCUUCCAGCGAUGUUGCGCGUUGAAACUUUCUACUUCUGCUAGUCGCUUCUCAAACUCGCAAGAUUUCUUCAACUCCGCCCACGCAUGCCGAUGCCGUGAGGCUUCCAGUAUUUGCCCAUAGUGCAACUCAUCCCCAUCUUGUUGAAAAUUGAGUUCCCGUAUUUCUUCAGGACGCCGUCCCACUUCACUGGCAAUUCGUUCGAUCCAAUUCUCAACAAUGAGCAUGCCUUGUGGACCUCCAAAGCCUCGAAACGCGGUGUUGCUGGAUUGGUUGGUGAAGCAAACCCUCCCUCGCACUCGCAUGUCCUUGAUGCUGUACACAUUGUCGGAGUGGAACAUCGCCCUCUCCAGAACCGAACCUGAAAGAUCCAAAGAAUUACCGCCAUUGUUGUAUAUGUCGACAUCAAGAGCCAAAAUCUUGCCCUCCUUCGUGAACACAACCUGCAUUUGCAACAUCGAGAACAAAACACAUCAGCACCUAAUCCACCACGGCCAAACCUUGCUAAAUUGAAGAAGCCACCUAACACAAAAUUGUAUACCACAGAAUGAACCGUGGAUACAGUAUCUCUAACCUUGUAUUUUCCCAUAAAAGCAUGCCGUUGGCCAGUAAUCGCCAUGUCCGUGUCUCUGUCGAGAGUGAUCCUCACUGGUCUUUGCAACAAGUAGGCUGGAACUGAAGCAGCCGCAGCUAUGAAGGCAGACCGUGUCUCCUUGCCUCCAAAUCCACCGCCUAUGCGCUUCAACUUACACACCACCUUGUGCUGAGGAAUGCCGAGAACGUGAGCGACAUAUCUCUGAUGUUUCUGAGGGGCUUGGGUUGAGGAAAGUAGGUGAACUUCAUUGCCAGCAUCGGUUGUCCAAACAAGAGUGCUGUUAGGCUCCAAGUAGAAAUGCUCUUGACCUCCCAUGCGCACUUCGCCUUCGACUGCAAGAACAUCAUCAGAGCCUCUUGCAUUUUCAAAGAACGCAUCGACAUUUCCCAUUUCUAGAACACGCUCUGAUCCAGGAUGGAACUUCUGAGCAGCCACAGCAGCAUCCAAAUCCAACAGAGUUGGCAGGUCUUCGUAAACAAUCUUGAUUUUCCGAGCUGCGUCUUUUGCGUUUUCGUGAGUGUCCGCAACGACUAUGCCUAUCACCUGGCCCACACAAGUCACAGUCGUCGUCGCAAACAGCUCUUCGUCAUGAACUAUGGCGCCAAUGUCAUUAGCCCCAGGUAGGUCUUUGGCUGAGAAAAAACCUUCAAACCCUGCUUGGUUCUCCGCCUCGGAGGCAUCAAUUGAUACGAUCCGUGCGUGAGGGCGGGUGCUCAAGACUAACGCAGCGUGCAGGCCGUUUGGUGGCAUGGCUAUGUCAUCGACAUAUUCCGCCUCCCCUGUCACCUGAAUCACAAACAUUUACCAUCAAUUCUACUCUAACAUUUCUAGGUGCAACUCCUAAAAUAAGAAACGAAGACGCUUAAAAGAUAGAGCCAAAACCCGAAACAUCGAAACUUACCUGGAGGUUUGCAGACUGGUGCUGGAAAGGCAAGCCCACUGCAGUUCCAUUUGGUAAAGUCUGGAAAACUUGAAUGCCAUGGGAAGGCUCCCGUUCAUACGGAGUCACCGCCGACCUGUAACUCUCCGGAAGCCCAUGGCUGAAAUUUGCGUGUGCCUCCAGCUUAUAAUUUGUGAACAAGAAGAACUUGAAGAAGAAGCUGGAGAUUAACGAACGCCGAAAUUGAACCAUCCCACCUGGUGCGUUAUCAGCCAUGUGAAUUUCCUGUUCAAGGAGACCAAGGGCCUGGUCUAGAGUCUCACGGCUCCAUGGCUUUCCUCUCAGGAACUCCUGCGUCCUCUUCGCAACUGCAACCAUAGCGGCCACUCCACCAUACGCCAGACACGAGUCUUGAACAAUCCAAGCUCCAUCAGACUCGGCAAGGCUGACACGAAUUCCUGCAUUGACAAGAGCGAUAUCGUCGUCCCGGCGAUGUGCUUGCUUAAAUUCUUUCACAUAUUCAAAUGGCCGUGUGAAUGGCAUAAAAACACUGAUGAGGAUUUCAUUUUCUUUCAAAUCGACUUUGCGGUAACCAAGGAAGAAAUCCUUAGCAGGAACUUGUCGUGGAGAAGCACCGUAUCCAGCUACAGUGAAGAUUGUCCCAGUAGCGAUCCAUAAGGGGUUCAAAUCCGAAAUUGGACUAGCAGUGACGAUGUUCCCGCCUAUGGAAGAGACGUUCCUAAUUUGAGCACCAGCAAACCACCGGAGCUGCUCGAUGAUAGCCUUGCAACCCGAUGUCUCGUCCUCAUUCCGCGUUUUCACAAUCUCGGAGAAAGUCUCGAAGAUGUUGGUAAGCGUCACAGAUGAGCCAAUCUCCACGCCACUAUCAAUAACCUUAAUAGUGGAAAGUUCCGGCACAUGUGUAGUCGCAAUCAGAACAGGAUACUGUAGAUUUUUGAACCGAACCUCAAUGCCAACCUCCGUGUUGCCACCGACCAUCUUGGCACUGGGAUACUCCUUUUUCAAGGCUAGCAAAUGCGACAACGAAGUUGGACGAUACCAUUUCAAGCCCAGUCUACCACGUAGAACAAGGGGUUGAGGUUUUCUUUCCUUCAGCUUCGACGGAAAGAUUGGCUCCGCUCGUGGCACUUCAACGUUAUCCUUCACACCUGUGUUGUUCUCCAAAACCGUUCCGUUGCUCUCUCUUUCUUGCUUCUCCUCCGUCAACGAUUUAUGGUCGGUGGCGGCACCGUUUCCUAAUUCACCCUUGGAAGGCGUUUUCCCACAAUCACAAGGCUUCCCUGUGGAUGGGCAAACAAACUCACUGCCGGUACUCUUGUUUGUGGGUACACCGCCAGCAGCUGCAAUCGCCUCGUUCGUGUACAGGGAAGUCUCUGAUUUGGCAAAGACACGAAAGGCGUCGAGAAUAGGACGGUAACCGGUGCAUCUGCAGAGAUUUCCUGCCAAACACUCCUCGAUCUCGGCUUGCGUUGGCUUGUCCUUCUUCGUUCGGAGAAGAGAGUACAUAGACAUGACAAAUCCGGGCGUGCAGAAACCGCACUGGGAGCCGUGUGCACUUGCAAGGGCUUCCUGCACUGGAUGCAAUCCCAACCGACGGUUUCCGAUGCCUUCCACAGUGAUCACAUGCAUCCCUUCCACGGAAUAGAUGGGCGCCAAACAUGCAUUGAUUGCGCGAUUCCUAUGAUACAUCACAGGUACAUCAGUCGUGUUUCAGGAUAAAGUUUUCAAAACAUGGAGCUGAACGGACAUGACAAGAAAUUCCGAAGACGAUGGCAUGAAUCAAUGUAACUGCAGCGACCACACUGACAGCCUCGGGAAUUGGAUUACACCAAGAUGUUAGAGCUGUGAUUCGUAUGGUUAAGGAGCCUUACACAAUGGAUCCAGUGCUGGUAUCGUAAUGCGACAGCAUUACAGUGCAUGCACCACACCCACCCUCGCCGCAACCAAGCUUGGUUCCCGUGAGACCAAUUCCUGGGCAAAAACCCAUACAACUGUAAGAAACUAAUUCAUCCUCAAAAUUAAACGCAGCGGCAAUUCGUCUAUCACGGACGGUUAGAAGCUACACUACAAUUUUCCUCGGUUCAUCGAAUAAGAGCACAUUAAUGUUGACUAAUUUCGGUUUCAGACAAUUGAAGGUCGAAUUUUAGGUCCCCAAAUGGACAAGCCACAAUUUCAAACAGGAACCAAAGGGGAGCAUCAAUUCACGGAAGAGGAGACAAGACAAGUACCUCGAAGGUAUUCGAGAAGAGUUUGGUGGGCGAUAUUCGGCGGCAAAACAUAACGCUUUCCAUUAACAUACAAAAGGAUGUCCUCCUCUUUAGCAUAUUCUACGGGAGCCACAGCAACUCCAAGGCUGGGUGCGUCUAGAGACCCCAUCCUCGCUCAACACACUUACAAUUACAUCCACGCCACGCACUUCCUAAAUCCCUCUGCUGAUCGCAGCUUCUGUCUGUCUCCAAAUCAGGCCCUCGUCAGCUCCAGAACCUCAAUUCAGCCCCGAAUUCACAAUCCCAAAUCCUAAUCACCGCCAAUACAACUUCCACUGCGACGCACGAGUCCACUCCUUAAUCUCCUAAAAACUCCCACCCUGCCAAACCCUCAAAAUUCAACGACCCAAUCUCCACGUCCCAGCACCAAACUAACGAUCAACAACACACAGCACAAAACAACAACAACAACAACAACAACAAAUAAACGGCCCCACUUGUACUCACUCGAGCCACGAAAAUCUACGCCCACGAGGUAUGCACAAUUUCUCCGUCUCUCGCGUUGCCUAAGAUAUACCACAAGGCCGAGUGCUAUGAGCGAGUAGUGAUCCGCUCGAUGCAGCACCUAGAAUAGAAUCCCGGGAACAACCGCAGACGAGCGAAUUGAGGCGGUCAGUAGGAGAUGAUUUCCGAACCCAGCUUCUUCUUCGUCUUCCCCGAUCCGAUGCCCUCUCAAUAUUCCCUUCGGAUGAUCGAUCGCCCACAGUUGAGCGUGGGGUCGCCCCUGACAACACUACCCCACUGUGUACUAACGUUACUGUCCUCUAUCCCACUGCGAAUCCUGGUCAUGCAGAUGCUAAAAUUCAAUCCUAUCUCUGCUUCACGCUCAUCCGCUUCGCUUUCCUCGGCUCGGCUUGCCCUGUCGAAGCAGUCUUCCGGAUCGUAUCAAUCGCCUGGCACGAUGAAUUCGCCGCUUCGUUCCCAUCGCGGCACCACGUGCCGCGGCAAAUCCAAACGUGCCUCGCGUUCAGUGCCUGGCGCGGCCCAACGUUGAUGAAUGAAACCUUGAGGAUGAAAAACUGAUUUUUUUCCCGUUCGUCCGAUGUUCUAUGCGUUCGAAAGCCACCUCGGCGGGAAGCGGAUGACGUGGCGUUUAGUAUUUGGAAUCGGCAUACGUGGCUUGCCAUUUUGUGUUGGCUUUUCAUUGCGUUUUGUUGAAGUUGUAAAUUUAAAAAAGAAUAAUUAAUAACCCUGUAAAAAGGUAUGAUUGUCAAUAAACAAACGAUUAAUUAUUACAAAUGUCAUUAAAUAUAGGGGAGGAUGAGUGGGUUGAUUUAGUAAAAACUUGGGUCUAUUUAACAUUCCCCUAAAUAAAUAAAUAAAUAAAUAUAUAUAUAUAUAUAUAUAUAUAUAUUAAUUUGCCAAACAUAAUAUUAUUUUUAAAAAAUGGUGUUUGUUUUAUUUAUAUGUAAUUAAAGUAAUAAUAAACAUAUUGUAUAUCGAGCAUUGUAUACUAAUGUAUGGGAUUUAUUUUGGAGAAAUUUUUACUUGUAUAUUGAUUAAACAUAUUUAUUUGUGUAUUAAAUUUUUUUUAAUACAAAAACCUGUAAAAUAUAUACGUUGUAUGUUUUUAGUAUUUCAUGAACUAGAGUUCAAUCUUGCAUGUAAUGUAACAAUCAUACUGAAUCUUUAUGCACAUUAUUCAAUUUGAAUUCAUUGUAAUGUCAGUUGGAAUUCAUUCAACUCUUAUAUAAAAUGAAUAACAAUAUCAACUAUCUAUAAAUGAAAACCAUCAAAUAUUUAUUUUUAUAUUUAUUAAAAAAUACAAAAAAUCGUGUAAAAUAUUAAUAGACUUAUUCAAUAGAUUCUUUCAUAUUUGUAUAUACUUAACCUUCUAAGUGUAAAUUCAGUUAAAAGAAAAUAAAAUAUAAAACCUAAAGAAUAUUAUUUACAAGAAGUUCAUUGUAUGAAUCAAUGAUGAUAAGAGAAAAGAAAUAUUAAUAUUAUAAUUGAUUUUUGAAGCGUUAAGCUUUAUUAGUUCUAAUUUUUUUUUAACCAUAUAUUACUAUGGAAAGUUAAAUAGCUUUUGGAGGAAAAAUAUUAUGCAUAUCGAACACAGAAAUAUGAGUUUACACAAUAACAUGCAAGAAGGAAUAUAUGUCCAUGUAUACCGGGUACAAUAUAACUAGAUGCUAUGAUAUUUCUAAUUUAUGUAAGUCCUACAUCAGUUAAAAAAUUUACUAGUUGAUUUGUUAGUCCUUUUUUCUUUCUAUUUGGUAUAACUUUAUUACUUUGUUUCAGCUUCAGAGUAAAUAUUUAAAAUUAUUGUAUAUAUAUUUUAAUUUCUUUUAAAAAGAAAUCACUAUUUUAGAAUACACAAUCACUAUAAUUAUGAGUCCAAUGAAAUCAAGAGUUUCAGUCACAGAAUUGUUUAUGUUCUUUUUGGCUUGAUAUAUAUAUACAUAUAUAUAUCAAGUAGAAUUUAAAUUCGUAGUUUUAUAUUUUUUGUAAUAAAAUAAUGAUACAUAUAUAUAUAUAUAUAUAUAUAUACAUUUUUAACCACCCUAAAACUUAUGAAACUAUAUCUUAUACAAUGGUUAUUUAUAUCAAAUAAACAAGUAAUCUUUCAAAUUAAAUUAAAGUAAUUAUUAAAAGGCUAAUUUGCUUCUACUCUAAUACAAUAAGUAUAGGAUGGAUUAAAUUAUGAGGUAGAGACAUGUUGAACAUACAACUGUAAAACAUGAUUGUAUUAAUAUAUAAUGUAAUUUAAUAUUUAUUUUUAUAACACAUGAGAAAAACUAUUCAUUUAUGAAGAGGUUAGUAUAAUUCUCACUCUUAAUAUGUUAUAAAUAACUAAUAUACUAAAUAUUCUAUUUUAUUUUUUUGGAAAAGAAAAGACCAUUCUUUUCAGUUGACAACAAUCAAUAUAUUUUUUUAUUUACAAAAUCAAAGAACAAUUUGUUUUAUUGUAACCCUUAAUAUAUGUUGUUUUAUGACAUAAAUAGUACUAUGAUUUGUCAAUCUCAUCACCUUUAUCUAGUUUAACAUAAUUUUUAUCUCUUUAUCCAUUUUCAAGUUUGUAUAACUAUUCAUUAAUCAAAUUUAUACAAUUAAAGAUACUAUUAUUUGAUUUUUGCAAUUUUUUUUAGAAAGAGCAAUAAACAACUCAGUUACACUUAUUUCAUUUGCUCUUGCAGCAGAGAAGAUCUUGCUAGAAAUGUAGAUCAACAUUUGAUGAAUAGCUAGUUGAUAAAUCUGAUAAAUUGUUGAUAAUAUUGAACUCUCAUCCCUUUCUUCAUAUAGAAUAACUAUGAAAAAUAUUUAAUUGUUGUAUUGAUUAUUCACACAAAGCUAUUUAUUUCAAUACAAAAGCAGUAGAGUAACGCUUUUCCUUUAACUGAAGUAAACAUCUUUUUUUUGUGACAAAGAGAAAGAAUACUGUGAAUGCAACCUUAGUGAAAAGAUGAAACAAGGAUGUAAGUAUUGAAGAUCAGCAAGUUCUUACUUAGUUACUACCAUAUAAAGAUUAAUCAUAAUAAAUUGUUAAUAGUCAAAAGACACCAAAGGAUUAAAAGAAGUUACUAUGGCGGCGGCUAGGGUUUUAAGGUGGCGGCUAGGUUAAGAUGAAUCUAGAUCUAGAUCUAGAUUGAAAGGAUGAAGGUGACUUUGGAUGAAGUCUAUGUACUUGGGAUGUAAACUCCACCUAUAAAUAAAGGGUGUUGGAAGUAAGAGAUAUCUUUCUCCAUACUUCUUUUAGAGUACAAUCCUUGCUGAUGCUAAGUGUUUGUAGCUUUUAGACUUCUUUUCUUCAAUAGAUUAUGGGCCCACUCACAUUUGCUUGAGUGUUUUUUGAAGUUCUUUGAAGUGGUUUUGUAAGUGUGGAGUAGAUCAAGUUGUUAUUGUUGAUAUUAGGUUUUAGAAGAACCUAACUUUUAGAUUAAGAUCUAGAUCUAGAUCUUGGUUUGUUCUUACUUGUGCUUAAGAGUAUUUUGGUGUUGGUGUUUUGUUUCUUCACCUAAAGAAAAAGUUUGCAUUGUGCUAUUGCUGAGAUAGAUCCUUGGUGAUCUAACUCUAUAAUUUCAUAUCCUAAAGCUGCUGAUUGUCCUUAAAAGGCGUCUUAUGGUGUAUAGAGGUGAUUUGUGAGCAUUAGAGAGAUAUUAGAGUGGCAAAUCAGAUUUGAGACACUUAGAUAAGUCAUCAAACUUGUGAGAAGUCUUAGAAGUGAAGUUGAGAGUGUUUUUGAGAGUAAAAACACUAAUUUAUUCACAAAGAAGGAUUUUGUGAUUCUAAGGCAGCAAAAUCUUUUUGCUGAUUUUGAUAGCAUUAUGACUUCUUCUUACAAUCCUUUUUGAUACAACUCUUCCUUAGACAUGGCUUCAAGUGAGGGUGAAGGAUUGAGAGUUAUUGAGAAGUUUAGAGGUGAGAAUUUCUACCAUUGGAAGGUAAAAAUGGAGCUUUUGUUGGCAUCUUUGGAUCUUUGGGAUAUUGUAGAUGAAAGUGAAGAGGCUCUAAGAAAAGAUGCUGGUAUGAAGGAGAAGAAGGAGUUCAAACAUCGUGAAAAGAAGGCUUUUGGAUUGAUUGCAACCAAUAUGGAUGAAGCCAACUUCUCCCACAUUAUCUCUUGUAAAGGACCAGCGGAAGCAUAGAAGACUCUUUGCAACAUCUAUGAGAGCAAGAACUUAUCCAACAUCAUCUAUACAAGGAGGAAGUUCUUCACUUGCAAGAUGGAAGAAGGUGAAGACCUUAUGGCUCAUGUCAAUAAGGUAAAGGCUCUUGCAAACCAACUAGCAAUUGUUGACAAGCCUUUAGAAGAAAGUGAUAUUGUCGUGACCUUGCUAAUGAAUCUUCCCAAAUCCUACAACUACCUUAUUAUAGCAUUGGAGUCCAUCAAGCUAAAAGAGCUUACAAUGGACUAUGUGAUGACAAGACUUUUCCAUGAAGUAACCAAUAAGAAAGAAAAUGAGCCCCAAAGUGAAGAUUCAAUACUCUACUCACGUCAACGCAAGGACAACUAUCUAAAUCAGCAAGAUAAUGUCAAAUCUUGCUUCAUUUGUGCCAAAGUAGGCCAUUUUGCUCGAAAUUACUACAAAGGCAAAAAGAUAGAGAAGGAGAAUGCAAAUAGUAUAUAAGAUGAAUUUAGAGAAUAAGAUUAUGCAUUCAUGGCAAGAAAUGGGAUCUCUAUGGUUGCCAUGUUAAGAUGGAUUGUGGAUUCAGGUUAUUCCAAGCAUAUGACAUCUUAUAAGUAUUCAUUAGACACUUAUGAGGCUAUUCCAAUAUCAAACAAGGUGUUGGCGGAUAGUAGUACAUGUGAAGCCAUUGGAAUUGGCUCUAUUAUGGUGGAGGUGGUUGUGAAUGGACAAACCAAUAGGAUCAAAUUCAAAAACGUCCUUCAUGUGCCUAAAAUGAAGCAAAACCUACUUUCACUGAGUAAACUUGUAAUGGAAGGUUUUAAAGUUCAAUUUGACAUGAAUGGAUGUUUUGUAAGAAUAUUGAACGGAGACAAGGUCUUUAAAGGCUUGAAAUAGGAAAAUUUGUACUACCUCAUUUAUAAGAAGGUGAAUGGAGUAGAGGUAGCCGCAUUUGCUUAGUUUACAUCAAACUAAGACAAGUUGAAUAUAUGGCAUUGUCACCUUGGCCAUUUGAAUGUGAAGAGUAUGAGAGAGCUCAAGACUAUAGUAAGUGGCUUAGAUCUUUGCAAUAGAAGCCAAAAUGUAAAAUAACUUGCAUGUGAACGAUGGAUACAAGGCAAACAACAAAGGGCCUCAUUUCCAAGGAGUGUAGCAACACGUGCUACCAAGUUGCUAGAGAUUAUCCAUUCGGAUGUAUGUGGACCUAUGAAGAACAUAAGUAUUGGAGGAUCAAGGUAAUUUUUCACUUUCAUUGAUGAUUAUUCAAGAAAGAUUUGAAUCUACAUUUUUAAAGCCAAGAGUAAAUACUUUUGGAGGUUUGAGGAGUUUAAAGUACUUGUUGAGAAACAAAAUGAAUGCAAGAUCAAGGUACUUCGUACGGAUAAUGGAGGUGAGUGCAUGUCUAAGUAAUUUGAUGUUUAUUUGAAGAAUGAAGGAAUUGCUAGAAAAACCACAACUCCAUAUACUCCACAACAAAAUGGUCUUGCUGAAAGGACAAAUCAAACCAUUGUAGAGGUGGCAAGGAGUAUGCUUCAUGCUCAAAACCUUGGCUAUGAGUUUUGGGUAGAAGUUGUGGUGAAUGCAAUGUAUACAAAAUAUAGGUGUCCAACAAGUGAUCUUGCAUCAAUGACACCACAAGAAGCUUGAAGUGGGAGACAACCUUGCAUUUUUCAUAUGAGAACCUUUGAUUGCAUUGCAUAUGCAAAAACACCAGAUUGUAUGAGGUCCAAACUUGAUGCAAAAGGUAUAAAGUCUGUGUUUCUUGGUUAUUGUGAAGGUACUAAGACAUAUAGGCUAAUGUGCUUGAAAACUAAGAAAAUCAUCAAAAGUCGUGAUGUUGAAUUUUUGGAGCACAAGAACGCUUGUGAGCACUUGGAGAUGUGUCCAAAUGAGAGUAAUGGUGUGUUUGUGGAUACAUCUUUGAAUUCAGUAGAGAAACAAAAAGAUGAAGAUAAUGAAGAUAAAAAGCCAAAGAAGGUUGAAAAGAUGAAGGCUCUUAUAAUUGAUAGGACCAGCAAUGAAAGAAAUGAAGAUAUUGAAGAUUAGGAUGAUGAUAAUGAUGAAGAGUAGCAACCAUUAACUGAGAAAUGACAAGAUUUAAGAAUUGGAAAAGAACAAGAAGUGCAACAAGGUGAAUAUUUUUCUAGAAGUCAAAGGAGAUAUCAUUUGAGAAAAAGAAGGCAACAUGAAGAAUGGUGGAAGAAUCACAUCUUUCUUCAAGUAAGUGAAGAACAUACAAAUCUUGCUCUUCUUGCUGAUCUAUUAACUUUGUAUGAUGCUAUAAAGUAUGAAGAUGCAAUCAAGUGGGAGAAGGCUAUGGAAGAAGAAUAUCAAUCUCUUAUGGACAAUGAUAUAUAGGAAUUGACACCUCUUCCAACAAAUCAAUCUAGUGUUGGUUGUAAGUGGGUGUUUAGGACUAAAAGAGAUGCAAUGGAUGUAGUGGUAAGGCACAAUGCAAGAUUAGUUGCCAAAGGAUACUCACAAGUUGUUGGAAUUGAUUUCAAUGAGACUUAUGCACCCAUUACCAAAUUCACCACCAUUAGGACCAUUGUAGCAAUUGAGGCAGCAAUAGAUUUGGAAAUACACCAAAUGGAUGUGAAGAUGGCCUCUUUGAAUGGAGAAUUGCAAGAAGACAUCUACAUGGAUUAACCUCAAGGAUUUGUACAAUAAGACAAAGAACAACUUGUGUGCAAAUUGAAGAAAUCCUUGUAUGGAUUGAAACAAUCACCAAAGGCAUGGUACCAACAAAUUGGCAUCUUCUUUGUCAAUGAAGAAUUUGUGAGGAGUGAGGCUGAUCAUUCACUGUAUGUGAUACAAUCUAGAGAGUUCUUGCUGAUUGCAAUCCUUUAUGUUGAUAAUUUGAUCAUCUUGGCUAAUAAUAUGAAAAAGAUGGAUUUGAUGAAAGCCAAAUUAGAAAAAGAAUAUGCAAUGAGUGAUUUGGAAGACUUGCAAUACUCCUUGGGAGUGGAAUUUGUAAGAGAUCGUGGUAACAAGACCAUUACAAUGAGCCAAACUAAGUACAUUGAAGAAGUGUUGAAAUGAUUCAACAUGGAGGAGUGCAAGCCCAUUUGAACACCCUUGGAGGCAAAUUUGAAGUUGAUGAAGGUCAUGGAUGAGGAGUUUACACAAGUUGAAGGUGAGAUACAAAGUUAUCCAAACAAGGUAGUAGUAGGCUCAUUCAUAUAUGCAAUGGUAGCCACAAGAGUGGAUCUUGCAUAUGCGGUGAGUGUUGUAAGCCAACACAUGUCUAAGGCUGGACCAAUGCAUUGGACAAUAGUAAAGAGGAUGUUGAGGUACUUAAAAGGUACAAAAGACUUCAAAUUGUGCCUUGGUGGUAAGAACAUUGAUUUGCAAGGCUAUUAUAAUGCGGAUUGGGCUGGAGAUGCAAAUGAUAGAAGAUCCACAAUGGGAUAUGUCUUCUUUAUUGGAGUAGGAGCCAUUUCAUGGAAUUGUAAGAGACAACCUACCAUUGCAAGAUCAAUGAUGGAGGUAGAGUACAUGACAGUAAGUCAUUGUGCAAUGGAGGCAUGUUGGAUAAGGCAACUCUUAGAAGACAUUGGACUAGUGCAAUUAGAAAUAACUCUAAUUAAGUAUGACAAUCAAUGAUGUCUUGUAUUUGUUAAGAAUCCAAAAUACCACUCAAGGACAAAGUACAUUGAUAUUCAACAUCAUUUCAUAUGAGAAAAUAUUGAAGAUGGAAUAAUAGGUAUGAAGUAUUGUUCUACAAAUGACAUGCUGGCUGAUGUGCUUACAAAGGCAUUAGUGAACGAUAGUGUCAAGGACAAAGACUCGAUGAGGAAAAAUAUACACCAAAAGGCUAUCUCGAUAUAAUAAGUCAAAAUAUAAACAAGUAGGUAUAUUAAAAGGAAACUGGAAUGGCUAUUGCCACAAGACAAGAAACUAAAGACUCUUGAACCUGGACUAGAAGCAAGAAAGGAGUUGACAAGAGUGAAGAAGCCUUCACUCUUGUCUCUAUAUAUACUAUCUAACUAGGGGCUACGUGGCGACGUUCUAUAGGACCUCCAAUAUGUGUUGACUUUGUAGGACACAUGCCUUGACUUACAAGGCAAGUUUUUCUACGUGUGGGCCACAUAGUUAGCUUGAUCUUCAAGCUAACAACAUGUGUGGUACAUGGCCAACUUGUUGACCACGUUUCUAAUCCAAAAAGUCAAUUAAAGACACCUAUGAAGUCAAAGCAGCGUCUAGGAAGUUUCUAGGAAGCUUUUAUAUUAAAUAUUAUAUAAUUAACUUACUUUUAUUUACUUUUACUUACUUCUACCUAUUUCUAUAUGUAAUUAUUAGCUUACAUGAUUAUGGCCGUGACAUUACCCCCCCUUCUAGAGACGAGUUCCACGACGAGCGGUCAUCAUAUGUUGAAGAAAUCUAUGAUGCCACGAAUUAUAUUCGCCACAUACUCUGAUCUCUGUUCUCUUCGAAGAUGAUUGAUAGGGCCUCUCAACCAUCGGUAGUGUCCCAUAUCAGGGCGGGAAGACCACCCAGUUAUUUGAUCAUUAUUGAGGCCUUCAUAACUUCCUUCGAAUAGAAUAUUUGGAACACGAUCAGGAGUUGUUCCUACCUCUAGCAAAAUCACCAAACAUCGGGAGUCCCUUCCCAAAUCGUGAUACCAAACGCAUUGUAUCUCACCAUCUGUUCGAGGAAGAACAUGUUGUUCUUGAAGAUCUUCAUCUCGAUUGCGUCGUCUUGAAGGUUGUGACAAUCGUAAUGUCUCGUCCGGCAGGUCAGCAAACGAAGGUUCUUGAGUUGAAUCUGCUGGUUGUUGGCUCUCCAUCUAAUUAGCGUCACAAAUGCAAAGAAGUUACAAACAAGGAUAGGAAAUUGAAUGUUAUCUUGCCUCAAUCUUGUCUCUUUUAUAAGAGAGAUUUUCAUCUUGGUUUUGAUGGAUGUCGUUGAUGAAAAACUUUGACUUUAGUUGAUGCAUUUGCUAGAUUCCUGGAUGGCUCCCAUGUGCGUUCACUAAUAUCAUAUCCGCGCCAAUGAACAAGAUAUUCCAGCUUAUUUCGGCGCCGCCUUGAAUCUAAUAUCUCUUCCACCUCAAAUUCUUCAUUAUUAUCUACUUCUAUAGGAGGCGGUGGCAUUUGUCUUCUUCCUUGUAUAUCCACUGUCUUAUAUGGUUCAAGAAGAGAUACGUGGAAUACAGGAUGGAUCUUCAUUGACUCUGGUAGAUGUAACCGAUAUGCAACUAGGUUGAUCUGUUCAGAAGCAGAAAAGGGGCCAAGCCUACGAUAGUCCAACUUGUCACAAGGUCGAGUAGUCUUGAUAUUGCGACGAAGUAGCCAUACCUUAUCACCGACGUUGAUCUGUGGUUGCUCCUUACGAUAUAGAUCUGCGUUUAUCUUUUAUCGUUCUUGAGCUUCCUUCAAUUGUGUCUUCAUUAUUGCAUGUAACUCUGACAACCGAUUUGCCAUAUCUUCUGCUGCAGGAUUAUCAACUUUUGAAAAAUCAAAAGUAUCAAGUCGUGGAUGAUAGCCAUAAUUGGCAAAGAAAGGUGUUUGUUGCAUGGAAGAAUGUACCGUAUUAUUAUAAGCAAACUCUGCCAAUGGCAGAAGGGUUGUCCAAUCAUCUUGUUGGUAGUUGAUAGUACACCUUAAAUAUUGCUCCAAGACUUGGUUUACGCGCUCUGUUUGUCCAUCAGUUUGAAGAUGAAAAGCCGAAGAUAGUUUUAUGUCCACUUUUAAAAUCUUGAAAAGGGUCCUCCAAAAUCUUGACACAAAUUGAGUUCCCCUAUCCGAUAUGAUAUCUUUAGGUAAUCCAUGAUAGCGAUAGAUAUUAUCAAUGAAAAGCUUAGCUGUUUCUUCACCUGUGAUAGAUUUUGUACAUGGCACAAAAUGUGCCAUCUUGGUGAAACGAUCUACUAUCACAAAUAUAGAAUCAUAAGAUCUUGAGCUUGGAAGAUCUGUGAUGAAAUCCAUAGAAACAGAAGACCAUGGUUGUUCUGGUAUAGGUAAUGGCUGAAGAAGUCCGUAAGGUCGAUGACGAGGAAUUUUUGAUCUUGAACAAAUAUCACAUGAUUGUACAAAGUCUUUGACUGACUUCCACAUUUGUGGCCACCAAAAAUCUCUUGAUAUGAGUUCCAAAGUCUUAUUAUAUCCAAAGUGCCCUGCUGCUGGAAAUUCAUGACGUGCUUGAAGAACACGUAAACGUGCUUCUCCUUCUGGAACAUAUAGGCGUCCUUCAAAAUAUAAUAGAUUAUUCUUGAACUCAAACUUAGAAGGAUCAUGAGACUUGGAAGAAUUAUUCUCGAUAUCAUAAACAAGAGGGUCUGAGGACAUACUGGACUGGAUUUGCUUGAGAAAAGUUGAAUCAACAGUCAAUGUUGAUUUCAUUGCUCGGAGAUGAAAUUGCUCCGGUUUCAAGAGGACCGUUCUUUGUUGCUCAAAAGCUGCAUCUCCUUCUUUUGGUGCAAAAUAAGAACGUCUAGAUAGGGCAUUGGAUAAACCUUGUUGUUUUCCUGGCCGAUAAGUGAUAAUGAACUCGAAUCUUGACAAAGACAUACUCCAACGAGCUUGACGACGAUUCAACACGCGUGCUGAUAAGAAAUACUCGAGGUUCUUGUGAUCUGUAUACACAGUGACUGGAUUAGAAGUGCCUUCUAGAUAAUGACACCAUUCUUGAAAGGAAUCCACGAUCGCAAGAAGUUCUUUAUCGUGGAUCUCAUAAUUGAUCUCGGCUGCUGAGAAUUUUCUUGAAUGAAAAGCUAUCGGAUGGAGUUUGUCAUCUGUUCCCAUUUGUGAUAAAACUGCACCCAAGGCAAAAUCUGAUGCAUCUGUUUCCAUAAAAAAUGCCUUGGAAAAGUCAACAUGAUAUAAGACUGGUGCAGAGACAAACGAUGUCUUUAAGGCUUCAAAUGCUGCUUCCGCUUCUUGAUUCCAUUGAAAUUUAUCUUUACUAGUCAAGCGUGUAAGUGGAGCUGCAACUCGUGAGAAAUCUUUGAUGAAGAUCCGAUAGUAAUUGGCAAAUCCCAAGAAACAUUGAACAUCUCUUACUGUCCUUGGAAUCUUCCAAUCCACGAUUGUUUGGACUUUCUUAGAAUCCAUCAUGAGACCAUCAUUUGAAAUGAUGUAUCCUAAAAAGUCAACUUGAGUAGUGUGAAAUACACACUUUUCCAUCUUGGCGUACAAUCCUGCAUCUCUAAGUUUUUGUAAUACUUGACGAACAUGUAUUUCAUGUUCUUCGACGUUCUUGGAAUAGAUCAGGAUAUCGUCUAGAUAGCAGACGACAAAAUUGUCUAAGAAUUCACGAAAUACAUCAUUCAUGAGAUGUUGAAAAGCAGCUGGUGCAUUCGUGAGUCCAAAGGGCAUGACAUUAUAUUCGAAAUAUCCAUACCUGGUUCGAAACGCAGUCUUCCAUUCAUCUCCUUCUUUGAUCCGUACUAGAUUAUAUGCUCCUCUUAGAUCUAUUUUUGUAUAGAUCUUAGCUUGAUUCAACUGGUCAAGGAGUCUUGAUAUCAAAGGUAAUGGAUACCUGUUCUUGAUUGUGAUCUUGUUGAGUCCUCGAUAAUCAACACACAUUCGUAAAGAUCCAUCUUUUUUCUUUACGAAUAGAAUUGGAGCUCCUGCUGGAGAUUUUGAAUGGCGUAUGAAAUUCUUCGCUAAAUUCUCGUCAAUAUAUGUCUUGAGUUCAGCCAUCUCAUCUUGCGAUAAACUGUAAAUUGGUCCAAAUGGUGGCUGAGUUCCUUCCUUGAGGUCGAUUGAACAAUCAUAUGGACGAUGCUCAAGAAGAAUAUCUGCAUUCUUUUUCUCAAAAACGUCUUGAUACUCCUGAUAUUGACUUGGAAUGCCACUUGAAGUCUUUACGUUUUCAGAAAUAGAUGCAACAUAAAUAGCAAAAGUUGAUCCUUCUUUUGCUGCGUGUAUAAAUGCUUUUGCACCUAUCAGUACGGGUUUUACUGUACUAGACUUAUAAUUUUUUACUUGGUUCGUAGAACUAUUAAUAACGCUUUUGGAAAAGUCAAGUUUACGCGAAUUCCAAUCUAUUCGAGGGUUAUAUUUUUCUAGCCAGGAUAAACCUAAAAUAACUGGAUUGGACGGGGAUUUAAUUAUGUUAAAAGCUAUGUAGCUAUCAUGACCGUCUACUGUUACUUUUAUAGGAUGAGUUUCAUGAGUGACAUCUCCAGAAGACAAGGGACGACCAUCUAUGACUUCUACAUGUACUGGUUUAGGUUUCUGUACAAAAGGUAUUUUACGACUUUUAACAAAUUGUUCAUCUAAAAAACAUGCUGAGGCUCCCGAAUCUAAUAAAGCAGAGGCUUUGUAAUUCUUAGGUCUUAAAUAUAAGUCUAUUAUAAAACAAGGAGAGGGUUCUGAGGAGAGGAUAGGACCUUCAUUAGGAAUUGUACAAGGUUCCAGUUGCACGGUCCCUAUUGUAGCUGGACGAAUCCGUUUUCCGACAUGUUGUCUUCUUUGACCGUCGUACCCCUCAUUUUAUAGUUGCGUCGUUUCUUUGGACAAUGUUGAGCAGUGUGCUUAGGUUCUCCGCAAUAUAAACAUAAUCCUUCUUGACGACGAUGAAUCUUUUCUUGCUCAGUUAGAGGUUUAAAACGUACCGCGUCAAUUUGCAUGUCUUCUACUUCCGAAUGUACGUUUGGCAAAGAUGUUGAUGUUGCCAUUGAGUAAUAACUUUGAGGUUCCCGUGAAUGAUUCUCAGAUCGAAAUUCAAAAAGUCGAUUAUCACAUUUUACCGCAAAAUCAAUUGCUUGACUCAAAGUUUGAGGAUCAGGUAAGUUGAGCAUCAAUUUCUUUACUUCGUAUUGCAAUCCAUAAAGAAAUUGACUGAUGAGUGCAGCAUCAUCCCACUUGAUGUCAAUUACAAGUUGUCGAAAUUGUAAAGCAUAUACUGUUACUGAGCGAUUUCCUUGUCGCAGAAUUCGGAUCUUAUUUGUUGCAACACGAGUUGCAUCGUGUUCACCAUACAUAGAUCGAAACUCCGCCAAAAAAGCUUCCAAAUUGUCCAAUAUUGGAUUUCGUUGUUCAAGAAAAGAUGAAAACCACGAUAAUGCAGAACCAGAAAGUAGAGUGCCAAUAAACCUGACUUGUGAUCCUGGAGUUGGAUAGCUUUGCGGUUGAAGUUCAAUUGCCAAUUGUACUUGAUUGAUGAACCCUCGAAACUUUGAUCUCGUACCAUCAAAUUUCUCGGGUAAGGCAAUUUUUGGUUCUCUAGUGCUUACAGGGUGUUGUACAAUUGGAGAAGGAACGUGAUUUGUUGUAGAUGUUGAAGCAGCUCCGAUCAUCUCUAUAUCUCCACUUUCUUCUAUUCUUGUUCUUUCCUGUGUUGGUGAAUUGAGUUGAUGCAUCGCAAGCAUUAACUCCCUCAUUUGUUCUUGCAUUUGUGCCAUUGCACUCUUCAUUUCAACAAGCUCUGCCAUAAUGACACUAAGAAGAAAAAUUUGUUUGAUAUUGCUCAAGACAAAAGAAAAGAAAGACUUGAUAACAAAGAAGAUACUAAGAACAAUAUCACUUUAGAAGUGGGUAAUCCGCAAACUUCUAAUACGCUUAUGUCUUGUCAAGAGAAAGGGGUAAUCCACUCUUACUCAAGAAAAAACAAAGCUCUGAUAUUGUAAGUGUACUCUUGUCAAUCUGUCAAGGACAAAGACUCGAUGAGGAAAAAUAUACACCAAAAGGCUAUCUCGAUAUAAUAAGUCAAAAUAUAAACAAGUAGGUAUAUUAAAAGGAAACUGGAAUGGCUAUUGCCACAAGACAAGAAACUAAAGACUCUUGAACCUGGACUAGAAGCAAGAAAGGAGUUGACAAGAGUGAAGAAGCCUUCACUCUUGUCUCUAUAUAUACUAUCUAACUAGGGGCUACGUGGUGACGUUCUAUAGGACCUCCAAUAUGUGUUGACUUUGUAGGACACAUGCCUUGACUUACAAGGCAAGUUUUUCUACGUGUGGCCCACAUAGUUAGCUUGAUCUUCAAGCUAACAACAUGUGUGGCACAUGGCCAACUUGUUGACCACGUUUCUAAUCCAAAAAGUCAAUUAAAGACACCUAUGAAGUCAAAGCAGCGUCUAGGAAGUUUCUAGGAAGCUUCUAUAUUAAAUAUUAUAUAAUUAACUUACUUUUAUUUACUUUUACUUACUUCUACCUAUUUCUAUAUGUAAUUAUUAGCUUACAUGAUUAUGGCCGUGACAGAUAGACAUCAUAACUUGAUUCUGAGAUUAGGAUUAAAAGCCUUUUGAAAAUUAGCAAAGUGAGAGUGUUGAAGAUCAACAAGUUCUUAUUUAGUUACCACCAUAUAAAGAUUAAGCAUAGAAAGUUUCUAAUAGUCAAAAAGUACCAAAGAAUUAAAAGAAGUUACUAUGGUAGCCGCUAGGAUUUUAAGGUGGCGGCUAAAUUAAAAUGAAUCUAGAUCUAGAUCUAGAUUGAAAGGAUGAAGGUGAUUUUGGAUGAAGUCUAUGUACUUGGGAUGUAAAUUCCACCUAUAAGUAAAAAGUGUUGGAAGUAAGAAAUAUCUUUCUCUACACUUCUCUUAGAGUAUAAUUCUUGUUGAUUCUAAGUGUUUGUAGCUUUUAGACUUUUUUUCUUCAAUAAUAAGAACACAACUCUCGGUUCAAGAAAAAAAAAAUUGCUCUUGAUAAUCCAAACAAGUAGUUAAUCAAAUACAUAUAAACGGCAAUGGCUUAAUCAAGAAAGAAUAAUGAAAUACCAUCCCGAAGCACCAUGGCAGGGUAAUGUGUCAAAGCAGAGCUAAUCUUCUUGGUCUAGGCUGUAGGUUCAUCUCCAAGCCCUCCCAAAUCUUGGCAAGGCUCAAGUGAGCUCUUAGCGCAUCUGGACUGGUCUUUGAUGACUCUCGAUUCUCAUCUACAGACUAAUCCCAGUCGACAACCACAAUUCUCCGCGGCAACAGAUUCCUUCAAGCAUUCCAAUAUAUAGUGGAUUUUCUUGAGCACUCAGCGACAAGCACACGUCUCUCAAGCAGACUACUACUUAAUCUCACUUUAAUCGCCAUUUAAUCACAAGCAAUUUUCUAUCAAUUUGACACUCUUCCAUGGACUCAAAACAUCAACAAACUAAACUUCGACACUACAAAAUUACAACUAUCGCUUCAUAUUGUCCGUUUGAAUGGCACCCACACAAUGUGGCUACCAUAAAAUCUAUUUCACACUACCAGAUAAUGGCCAAAAUGAGGAAGACUCAUAGGCCAAUAAGUUUGUACCAACUAGGCUACUUUACCAACUAGGCUAUCUAAUCAUGUCAAUUGGCCUGUUCAACAUGUUCACACUAGAAUGUGGUUUUUCUUGACUUUUGGUCCGUGUUGGCAUGGAGGUGGCUUAGUUGGCGCAUGUGAUGUAGCAUUCAUAGAUAGAGGCUUUUACUUUUACUUCUAUUUUAUAUUUUUCCUUCUUUUCUUGAGUAUGCAGUUAUAGUUCUAAUUAAACUUUCUAAAUAUAUACAAUUUUAGGAUUUGCAUGCAUAUGAAUAUUGAUUGCAUAUGGUUGUACUUUGAUUCAAAUUCAUAGUUAUGUUUGGGAUAUACUUUGAACAAUGUUAUUUUGAAUGCCUUGUUCCAAUUUAAUGUCCAAGGAUUCACUUUUCACUACAACCUCCUCUUCUUUCACUAGCUCACCUUACAUAUUGGAAUUCAAACUGAUUUAUUUAUUGGUUUAUGUGGGUUUAUUUUUACUUUUUCCUAAAAUAAAAAAAUAGUAUUGUAUGUUUAGAACAGUUAUUCUUUACAGCCUUCUCUCCAAUACUUUCUCAUCCAUUUCAUUAUGUACUUCAGAGUUCUUCUAAGAUGAUGACUAUAAGAUAUUUUAUUAAUAAAAUAUGUAAAUAAAAAUAUAUAAUUUUAUUUAUUGAUAGUAAGUCAUUUUACAAUUACCUUUUAUUACUUCCAAUACCAUUGUUCUUGAGACUUCUUUACAAUAAAAAAAAUCACACUUUAGUUAAUUGAUUCACACUAUAGAAAUAAAUAUGUUUACAUCAUUGUUAGAUGUUUCUCCAGAAAUAAAACUUAAAUAAUAUCAUGGAAAACAUAUGAUUUUUAAGAAAUAAACCAUUGUGUUGUCUCAUUAACUUUUGUUUUAACACGUUUAUAAACUGGACUGUAGUUUACAGCCCUACUAAACCAUUGUGUUGUCUCAUUAACUUUUGUUUUAACACGUUUAUAAACUGGACUGUAGUUUACAGCCCUACUAAACCAUUUGCUGCUCUACCCCUUUUUCUGACCACUGUUCACAAAACACAACACAAAGGAUCAACGGAGAAAACUAGACCCAAAACUAAGAGUGAGAACAAUGUUACAGAUAAACUGAAGUGGAAGGAGCUGCAAAGCUGUGGAAGCAAAGCAAAAGAAGCGGAACAAUUCCUUCUGGAUUGCUUGCUCCCUUUUGUGGGCUCUUUCAGGUGGCUGUGGGUGUUAUAGUACCAAGUGAUUGAAGCAUGUGUUUUCGAAGAGUCCGUUGCAACCCUUGGCCCUCAAAGGGGAUCCGCCUCUCACCAUGUGUCGCUCUAGAUCUGAGCGAAGCGUGUUUUCAUACUCCAAAACCUGGACCCAUUGCAAUCUGCCUCUGACAACAAGAGUUUCGAAUGCUUCCCUUUCACCCUCUCAUCACUGUUCUGGAACCCACUUCACCCCAUGGUGCAGGCUUGUCAUGGUAUCCAUUUGUGUCGGUCCUGUCCGUCUGAUUGAUCCUGUCACCGGUUGCUGUUGUGAGAUUCAUCCCGGAUCUGAUGAGCUCGCGAACUGAUGAUCCAUGCCAUGUCGCCGCGGUUUCUGCUCAGCAGCGACUUAACCUCGGUUGCUCUUUCGUUUCCGGAGAUUGAUUCGGCGAGCAGAUUGCAUUACAUGGUGCGGGUCAAACUUCUCCGAUCUUCUCACUUGAUUUGUUGACAGAACUCUAAUGUGAUGGAGCUGAAUUUUAAUCAGCUGCGAGAGUGCGAUGCACCCUGAUCGACUGUGGCGAGAGUGAGAGGAACGUAAGAAGAAAGUUAUCCUUCGAUCAGUACGGUGAGAUUCAAAAUGCCGAACGAUAUGACGGACUACCGAACGAUGUUUGCGAGCAAGAACAGAAACCACUGUCGAGAGAAAAGGGAGUACUGUGGCUUGUCGUCACAAAGCACGCAGCAAGGUGGCACGGCGGAUAUGUACUCCAUGCGACACAACUCUAGAUGCGUGUGCCUGUGCCCCACGCGGCCCUUGUUCAGCUCGCUAUGGCCUCUGUAUAACCAACCCGACGCCGUGUGGCCCAAGUGGCAUCACCACCGCCUCUUGGCCCUAUCAGGAAACUACAACCCCUUGGAGCGACUGUGGAAAUCUUUCGAGCUUUUGGAAUACAAGCCAGCGACGAAGACGUGGGUAAUAGUCACGAGGAUGCCGGACAAGUUCGUGAGCGCCAUGUUCCAGGUGAAGUCCUUCGACGCGAUCUUCGCUGCGUCGCACCAGAGCCGAAUUUUCAUCAAGAGGGUGGGCGAUGGACACAUCAACGGCGCAGUGUAUGACCUCGACAACGACACCUGGGGCACUCAGUGGAUCGUGCCGAUUGAUGCCAUGGCUUGGUUCCGGGGAAUCUACCCCAUUCAGGAGCUGUGUGUGCCGUGCGAGAAGUAUAUGACCCAGUGUCACACUUGUCUGGCACCGGAGAAGCGAACCGGGAAGAGGAUCUACAUCCCACCAGCCUAGUGUGAGUACGAUCUGAUCGACCGCACCAGAUUAAUCUCAGAAACCAAAACUGGACCUGCACCGAUGACCUCAAACCUUGCGAUUCGUCCCAGUUAUGGAUCUGGAGGAAGCCAAAUCUAACGCUAUAAUCCACAUGAUUUGGAACAAUGAUAAGACUUUGGGCACGUUUUCUUCUAUAUUUAGCAGCAUGGGAAUAGCGGGUCUGAAAGCAAGUCCCCAUUUUGCAGAUGGCGUCGUGUUGAAGAGAACUAGAGACUGCCGUUUUGAAUAGCAAUACGUGUUCGAGGAGUGCAAGUUUGUGGGGAAAUACUAAACUUGCAGAUAGGGACCUUCUUGUUUGAGACCAUCUCAAUUCUCCAUUGCCAUGGAUUUCUACAAUUCUGACAAUUGUCACGUGCAAUAGCUGUUAUUAAAGCUAAAAACACAAGAGUACUUGUUGUAUCGGUUACGAUUUAAAUGCCAGUUUUGUUUACGUGGCUUUGUCUAUUAUUUUCUGUGUGUGUGUGUGCAUCUGCAUAUAUGUAUAUUUAGAUUAAAGUUUUAGGUGUUUCAGUAUAUUAAUGUUAUUUUUACUUUUUCUUCCCUUCACUGUCCCGAAUGUACAGUAAUCAUAAUUUUGGCUCUUCAUUUUUUUAAUAUGUUUUUUUAAUAUUUCAAAAUUUAAAUACUUUGGUGUAAAAUGAUAGUACUUUUAAUAAAAUUCUUUUUUCUUUUGGUGUAUUUAUGAUU